This is a non-coding RNA of Hyaena hyaena (striped hyena), 245 nucleotides long. RefSeq annotates it as small Cajal body-specific RNA 2. Lineage: Eukaryota; Metazoa; Chordata; Mammalia; Carnivora; Hyaenidae. The transcript has a single exon. The record is from RefSeq and is a predicted model, not a curated record.
AGCACCUGUUGGGAGAGCAGCCUGGGACAAGGGUGAUUUGUGUGGUGCCACAAUGUUGCAUGGAAGGUUCAUGUGGGCUGAGUGUGAAUGGAUACACAACUGUAUGAGUGUGUGAGUGAGGCAUGCAAGGCGAGUGUGUGCACCAGUGCCAGAGCCUUUCCUCCCCACACACCUUGAUCAAGGUGUGAUCCUAGCCCUGAGGAGCUGACCUGAAAUGAAAAGCUCUCCUCCUGAGAAGCCCCCCA